RNAcentral lists this long non-coding RNA (537 nucleotides) under Malus domestica (apple). Its description in RNAcentral is "long non-coding RNA (MDOM_LNC021084)". Lineage: Eukaryota; Viridiplantae; Streptophyta; Magnoliopsida; Rosales; Rosaceae. The record is from RNAcentral.
AAGCUAACUACGUCCUUCGGUGAAUGCGGGGCGUGCCAACUCGUCGGCCGAGCUCGGCCGAGGAGUAAAUUUGUUGAUGUUGCGUUGAGCGCGCUGCUGACUUCUGUGUCUUGCGAUUGCGGCCGAGGAAGGAACAAUUCUCGGCCUCUUGGGUUCUAGAGCCUGAAGACAAGGCUGCUAAUUUGCGAAGUUCAAUCUCAAAUUCGGCUGUCAAUGUGCCGAAUACAGUAACCUGGUAACACCUCACUUCGCCGAGAAGGCUGAUGAGAUGACCUCGACCAAUAAGGAUUCGGAAAUCCUUCUCGACCGAGACUUGGAUAGGUAACCAGUCGUCCUCGCCGUAGUGCUGUUGAUGCCAACGGAAGAUGCUGCGAGAUCGACCGACUCUACGGUGACAGAGCUAUCUAUGCCGACUUAAGAUAUCACCGGUUGCUUCCACAGUGCUGUUGAUGCCAACGGAAGAUGUGUCAGCGAAAAAAGGAAAAAGAAAAGAUCUCAAGUUGUGAGAGUUUGCGCAGGGCAAUUUUGUAUUGAUUU